GUGUUGGCAUAAUCACUGGGCUCCUCAUUCUAAUCCUUACCGAAACUGUCCUGCCCAAAAUCUUCAACUUCAGCAUCAGCCGGCCGAUGGAGGAGGAAGGUGGCUGGGCGGCGUUACUAUUUCCGCGGCGGCGAGGCGAACCUCCGGCUGCCGUUCGGUUGAAAUCGAAGCAGAUGGGGCCUAGGGUUUUGGGAUUUGACUGAU
This 204-nucleotide long non-coding RNA is filed under the name Salvia miltiorrhiza (redroot sage). RNAcentral's name for it is "long non-coding RNA (SMIL_LNC003593)". Lineage: Eukaryota; Viridiplantae; Streptophyta; Magnoliopsida; Lamiales; Lamiaceae. The record is from RNAcentral.